GCCUGGGGGAUCCUGCGCGCGCCGUAGCGCGCUGCGCUCUUCUAAGCUCUGCGCCAGGGGUCGGGUUCCCGAGGGUUAGAGCCAGCCUGGCAAGGAUCCACACUCCGAGCGCCUAGAGAUCCCGCUGACCGCCCUGACUCCAGCUAGAGAGCAAGCAUCCAGAAGCACCAUUUUCUUAUACAAAGGACACUUAAGGCAAACUAGUGGAAGUAAGGGCAGGAGCCCGGCAAAGCCGCGGUUGGAGCCGAAAGACGGUGUCUGCAUAUUUCAUACUCAACUGUGAGCCGGGUCUGGUUCCUUGCUUGCCUUUCGGGUUGAUCGUCUGGGGGCAGCGGAAAGCCAGGCUUGAACAGUUACACAUUGCAGCAGACAAAACUGCAGCUGAAUUUCUUUCAUAGGAGCCUGGAAAUUAUGGCCUUAUGUGCGUAGCUGAACUUUGCUGAAGCACUGAGC
Long non-coding RNA from Manis javanica (Malayan pangolin), 453 nucleotides. RefSeq lists it as uncharacterized. The record is from RefSeq and is a predicted model, not a curated record. Lineage: Eukaryota; Metazoa; Chordata; Mammalia; Pholidota; Manidae.